Molecule: long non-coding RNA, 504 nt
Organism: Ostrinia nubilalis (European corn borer)
Lineage: Eukaryota; Metazoa; Arthropoda; Insecta; Lepidoptera; Crambidae
Exons: 4
Source: RefSeq, a predicted model, not a curated record
CGGCUGCCAAGCUGACCCAUUACGCCAAAUGGGAAGUCUUGGCCAGGAAACUUAACUCUGUUGAAAGUGGCGUUCUCAAAAAUGUAACCAAGUGGCAACAGUCCCUGCGAGACUUCAAGAACAAAACAAAGAGAAAAGCAAUGAAAGGACAUAAAAGCCAGGAGCUAAGCGACGUUUGCUGGCACUUUAUUAUGAGGACAUCCCAGAAACCAAGCCCAUAGGCAUUGAUAUAAGAUGUGUGACAGAAAUAGACCCGCUGUCUUCUGAUGGCAACUGCAGCAGUUACAACCUGUUUCCAGAGGUGUUCCCUACAUUUGCCUGCCAACUCAAGACGGAACGGUCCUCACCCCUCUCUGCACCUGAUGGCAAUGAAUUGUGAUGCAGCAGAGAACCCGUGCCCCGACGGGCGGCUGUGCCCGGCGCACUGGCUGUGCUGCGAGGUGGGGUGCUGCGCCCCCGGCGCGCCCUCGCGCCGUGACGACGAGCCCCACAAGGAGCUGCCGU